UCCUUGGGGGUCCAGUAGUUAAAACUCAGUGCUUUCAGGGCUGUGGGCCCAGAUUCGAUUCCUGGUCAAGGAA
Molecule: transfer RNA, 73 nt
Filed under: Capra hircus (goat)
Lineage: Eukaryota; Metazoa; Chordata; Mammalia; Artiodactyla; Bovidae
Also listed under: 1 other name
Rfam family: tRNA
About the family: Transfer RNA (tRNA) molecules are approximately 80 nucleotides in length. Their secondary structure includes four short double-helical elements and three loops (D, anti-codon, and T loops).
Source: Rfam by way of RNAcentral